This 103-nucleotide microRNA precursor is filed under the name Procavia capensis (Cape rock hyrax). RNAcentral describes it as "microRNA 760 (ENSPCAG00000019074.1)". The stretch from base 21 to 100 matches the Rfam family "mir-760 microRNA precursor family". Lineage: Eukaryota; Metazoa; Chordata; Mammalia; Hyracoidea; Procaviidae. The record is from RNAcentral.
GGAUGCUGCGGCGAGCGCGGGGCGUGUCGUCCCCCUCAGUCCACCAGAGCCCGGAUACCUCAGAAAUUCGGCUCUGGGUCUGUGGGGAGCGAAAUGCUCCCAA